UUCCUCCUACGGGACGCAGCAGUGGGGAAUAUUGCACAAUGGGGGAAACCCUGAUGCAGCAACGCCGCGUGAGUGAAGAAGUAUUUCGGUAUGUAAAGCUCUAUCAGCAGGGAAGAAGAGGACGGUACCUGAUUAAGAAGCCCCGGCUAACUACGUGCCAGCAGCCGCGGUAAUACGUAGGGGGCAAGCGUUAUCCGGAUUUACUGGGUGUAAAGGGCGUGUAGGCGGGCCUGCAAGUCAGAAGGGAAAUCUGGGGGCUUAACCCCCAAACUGCUUUUGAAACUGUGGGUCUUGAGUGAUGGAGG
This 305-nucleotide ribosomal RNA is filed under the name uncultured bacterium. Its description in RNAcentral is "bacterial SSU rRNA". It matches the Rfam family "Bacterial small subunit ribosomal RNA", at positions 333 to 655 of the family's 1533-position model. The record is from RNAcentral.